UUUGGAAUGUCUUCUUCUUGAACUCUAGGUUGAUGAUAGCCAAAUCUUAGAUCGAUCUUUGAGCAUUAACGGGAUAAUUGUAGUUGGUCGAAACAAGUCAUCGAUCUUCGAGAGUGGGUAUCGGUUCUUGAUGACAAGUUUGUUCGACUCUCGAUAGUCGAUGCAUAUCCUAAACAAUUCAUCCUUCUAUUCGACAACAAUAAUGGAGCUCCUCAUUGAGAGCAGCUUGGUCGGAAAAAGCCUUUGUCAAGAAGUUCUUGGAGUUGACUGGAUAGUUCUUGCAUUUCUGAUGGAGCCAGACGAUAAGGAGAUUGUGCCACUGGUGCUGUACCCGAGAUUAGGUCAAUUUGGAAUUUGACCUGUCUGACUGGAGGUACUCCAGGUAGAUUCUAUGGAAAUACGCCCGGAUAAUCACACACUAGCGGUAUGUUUAUGAUUUCCUUACCCUUGUCUUGCAUAUCCACCACGUGGGCCAAGAAAGUGAAGCAUCUCUUCUACAAACACCUUCUUUCCUUCAUGCAAGAGAUGGUUCUUAGAUUCUUUCCUGAUUUGUCUAUGUAAAUCACAAGAGCUUCGUUGUUAGGUAUAGGUAUUCAGAUGACUUUUUCGUGACAUAAAAUAUCUGUUUGAUGAAGUGAUAACCAAUCCAUCCGGAUGAUCACAUUGAAACUUCCAAUGGUCGUAGGUAUUAGGUUGACGUGAAAGACAUGGUCAUUCAGGGUCUUUUUGCAAAAUUUAGAGGCGUGACCUCUUAAGUUACAGAUUUUGCAGGCCAUGCAAUUUCUGACAUGGUGAAAGUUGCACUUUAUAUGGUGGGAUAAAGUCCUAGAGUAGGAAUUUGAUUGAGUAGGUGUGUUUGUGAUUGAGAUGUACACAACUACAGGUUAUGGACUAGGAUUGCGGUGCUUGAAGUUCCCAUUUGACUUGCCAUGGAACUUCCUUUUUGUACUCCCAAUAUGUUUUUUUGGGUUAUGGAACUCUGACAGAUACACUACUAAGUCAAUUGGUAGGUUAAUUGCUUUGCACUGUCAAAGGUAGUGGUUCUAGGCGUAGUAAGUAGACCGUGAACUAGUGUAGCAAAUCCCCAGAUGUACCUUUAGGUAUUUUUGUAUUCUUAGUUCACCAUUCCCGGGUAAAGGUUUGCGAGGUCGUUAAAUCAGAAAGUCUGGCAGUUACAUUCAAUCUUUUUAUGGUCGGGUUCCAAAUUGUAGANNNNNNNNNNNNNNNNNNNNNNNNNNNNNNNNNNNNNNNNNNNNNNNNNNNNNNNNNNNNNNNNNNNNNNNNNNNNNNNNNNNNNNNNNNNNNNNNNNNNGCGGGGGCGUUAUCACACUGGUGCAAUGGUUCGAAAGGACCGAGGCAGUUUUUGAAAUCUGCGCUUGUCCCGAAGCGAGCAAGGUCAAGUAUGCGGCAUUCACUUUCACUGGAAAAGUACUUACUUAGUGGAAUGGCCGAGUUAAAUCACUUACUCCCGCAGUAGCUAACGCAAUCAGCUGGGAGGAUUUGAAAGCCCUAAUGUUAAAGGAAUACUGCCCGAGGGGCGAAAUACAAAAACUUGAAGAAGAACUUUGGAACCUCAGAAUGACAGGCACUGAUCUUGAAACUUAUACUGCCCGUUUCAAUGACCUAGCACUCCUCUGUCCAACAAUGGUCACUCCAGAAGAGAAGAAGGUGGAACGAUAUCUCUGGGGGCUGUCAUCCCAGAUUCAAGAUAGUGUAUUGGCCUCAAAACCCACUACCUUUGAGAGUGCCAAGGAAUUGGCACAACAACUCAUAGAUCACAGGGCUAGCCGUGGUACCGUGAUAACCACCACCGACCGAACAAAAGGAGGGAACAACAAGAGGAAGUUCUGGGGCAAUAAAAAGAAACAACCAAUGCAGGACCCCGCCAAAAAGCAACAGAUUGUUGCUGUUCGUGCCGCCACUACUGCUGUCGCUCCAGCGCCGCCGAAACAGUAUACAGGAACUCUUCCCAAGUGCAACAAGUGUAACUACCACCAUAAUGGUGCUUGUCAAGAGUUACACUGCAAUAACUGUAACAAAAAGGGGCACACCGCACGAUUUUGUAGAGCGACUACCCAACCCGCCGCACAAGUCGCUACGACCGCCAACACCGGAGCAAGCCAAACCUGCUAUGGAUGUGGUGAAACGGGACACUUCAGGAGGAACUGCCCCAAGGCACGAGCCCCUAAUGUUGGGGGUGUAGGGAGAGUCCUAACUUUAGGGAAGGGAGAAGCAGUCAAGGAUCCCUCUGUGGUUACUGGUACGUUCCUCCUCAAUAACUCUUAUGCAUGCGUACUUUUCGAUAGUGGGGCAGAAAGAAGUUUCAUAAGUCACCAAUUCAAACAUAUACUUAAGCAAAAUUCUCAACCACUAGAAGAUUCUUACAUCGUAGAAAUGGCAAAUGGAAAGGUUGAGCGCGCUAAUGAUAUUUACAAAGGGUGUACUCUCACUCUAGACAACCAUUUGUUCAAAAUUGACCUUAUGCCGGUCACCAUAAAAAGCUUCGAUAUAAUCAUUGGUAUGGAUUGGUUAAGCCUUCAUCCUGCCGACAUUCUAUGUUACGAAAAGGCCGUCCACCUCAAUCUACCGAAUGGCAACGUUCUCACCGUUUAUGGCAAUAAACCUAGUGCGAACCUACAAAUCAUCUCUUGUGUUAAAACCCAAAAGUACCUCCGAAAGCAAUACCAUGCUUUCUUAGCCCACAUCGUAGACAAGAAACAGGAGGUGAAGGACAUCAAAGAAAUUCCAGAAGUAUGCAACUUCCCUGAUGUUUUCCCAGACGAUCUGCCAGGUGUACCACUCGCACGACAAGUCGAAUUUCGGAUCGACUUAAUCCCAGGAGCUACCCCCGUCGCCAGGGCUCCAUAUCGCUUAGCACCGGCAGAAAUGCAAGAACUAUCCAGCCAGUUGAAUGAACUAUUGAGCAAAGGGUUCAUCAGGCCAAGCUUCUCGCCCUGGGGAGCACCAGUCUUAUUUAUAAAGAAGAAGGAUGGGUCUUUUCGCAUGUGCAUAGACUAUCGAGAACUAAACAAACUCACUAUCAAGAACCGUUAUCCCCUACCCCGAAUCGAUGACCUCUUCAACCAGCUCCAAGGAGCCAGCUACUUUUCAAAAAUCGACCUGAGGUCGGGCUAUCAUCAACUACGAGUUCAGGAAGAGGAUAUCCCCAAGACGGCAUUCAGAACUCGCUAUGGGCACUAUGAAUUUGUAGUGAUGCCAUUCGGGUUAACAAACGCGCCUGCGGUGUUCAUGGAUUUGAUGAAUCGAGUGUGUCGACCCUUCUUGGAUAAAUUCGUCAUUGUAUUCAUCGACGAUAUCUUGGUCUAUUCGAGGAGCAAAGAAAAGCACAGACAACACCUACGACUAGUUCUAGAGAUUUUAAGAACCGAGAAGCUUUACGCGAAAUUCUCAAAGUGUGAAUUUUGGCUCCGUGAAGUAGGAUUCCUUGGCCACGUAGUAAGCAAAGAAGGAAUACAUGUGGACCCCUCAAAGAUCAAAGCAAUCGAAGAUUGGUCAACACCUGCAACGCCAACAGAAAUCCGACAGUUUUUGGGACUCGCAGGCUACUAUCGAAGAUUCAUACAAAACUUCUCCAAGAUCGCUAAGCCUCUCACCACCUUGACUCAGAAAGGUGUGGUGUUCGAAUGGGAAGAUAAACAAGAAGCCGCCUUCCAGACACUAAAGCAAGCCCUAUGCAGCGCACCAGUCUUGUCUCUUCCAGAAGGAACCGAUGAUUUUGUGGUGUAUUGCGAUGCUUCGAAUCAAGGCCUCGGCUGUGUGCUCAUGCAAAGGGGAAAAUUCAUCGCUUAUGCAUCAAGGCAACUGAAGACACAUGAAGUUAAUUAUACAACCCACGACCUUGAACUGGGAGCGGUGGUGUUCGCCCUGAAGAUCUGGAGGCACUACCUCUACGGCACCAAGUGCACCAUCUUCACUGAUCACAAAAUUCUUCAGCACAUUCUCAAUCAGAAAGAACUUAACAUGCGCCAAAGAAGAUGGGUGGAAUUACUGAAUGACUACAAAUGUGAAAUUCGCUACCACCCGGGCAAUGCCAAUGUAGUAGCCGAUGCCUUAAGCAGGAAAGAAUACUCGGGUCGCCGAGUAAAAUCCCUAGCCAUGACCAUCCACUCCCAACUGGCCACCCAGAUCAAGGAUGCCCAAUUAGAAGCCUUGAAACCAGAAAACGUGGCAAGCGAAGCACUAAGGGGGAUGGAUAAGAACUUGGAAGUCAAAGUGGAUGGAACUCGUUAUCUCAUGAAUCGAAUCUGGACACCGAAGUUCGGUGGGUACCGAGAUGUUGUAAUGAACGAGGCCCACAAGACUCGAUACCCCAUUCACCCUGGGUCNAUCCUUAUCCCUACAAUAUAGGCAGCUUCUCCAAGGUCCUUUAUAGAUAAACACUUCCCAAGCCAGGACUUCACUUCCUGCAGAGUUGGGAUGUCAUUUCCUAUGAGUAGUAUCACAUCCACAUACAAUACAAAAAAGCUACCUAUACUCCCACUAGCCUUGACAUACACACAAGAUUCAUCGCUCCUCGAAAAGCCAAACUCUUUGACUUUCUCAUCCAAACGGAGAUUCCAUCUGCGAGGUGCUUGUUUUAAUCCAUAGUGGAUUUCUCAAGCUUACACACUCUAUUGGGGUACUCUGUACUAAGACAUCAGGUGGGAUGGAUACCAUAUGGGUGGUUGUGGACAGAUUGACCAAGUCCGCACACUUUCUGCCAAUAAAGGAAACAGACAAGAUGGAGAAGUUAACCAGGACGUACAUUAAAGAGAUCGUGCGACUACAUGGUGUACCAACAUCCAUUAUCUCUGAUCGAGAUAGUAGAUUCACCUCGCGUUUCUGGCAGUCCCUACAGAAGUCUCUAGGAACNNNNNNNNNNNNNNNNNNNNNNNNNNNNNNNNNNNNNNNNNNNNNNNNNNNNNNNNNNNNNNNNNNNNNNNNNNNNNNNNNNNNNNNNNNNNNNNNNNNNACCGGCUUGACUUGAUGACUUGACUUGACUCAAGAUUGACGAUUGGCACAACCUUGAAGAAAUUCAAGAGUCAAGUGGUGAAGGAACUUCAAACCCUAGCAGUCAACCUGAGGAGGAAACUCCUAUUGAUCCGAUUGACGAGUUUGUACCUCUGAGGCAUUCCACGAGAGUUAGGAAUUCACCUGAGCAUUACUAUGCUUUCCAUAUUACUAUAGAAGGUGAUACACUUAUCAGUGAUGAGACACUGGUAAGUCUGGAUGAACCUAACAGCUACACAGAAGCCAUGGUAGGCCCGGAGUCUGCUAAAUGGAAAGAGUCAAUAGACAACGAGAUACAGUCCAUGUAUGACAAUCAAGUUUGGAACUUGGUUGACAAUGUACCAGGUCAUAAGACAGUCAAGUUCAGACGGAUCUUCAACAAGAAGACCGACAUGGAUGGUAAUGUACACACUUAUAAGGCGCGACUGGUUGCAAAGGGCUUUUCUCAAACUCUGAGAGUUGAUUAUGAUGAUACAUUUUCACCAGUAGCAAAGAUAAAGUCUAUUAAGGUUAUGUUAGCCAUUGCUACAUCUCAUUAUUAUGAAAUAUGGCAAAUGGAUGUCAAAACCGCUUUCCUUAAUGGAAAAUUGGCUGAGGAUGUUUACAUGAGUCAGCCAGAGGGUUUUGUUAGUACAGAGUACCCCAAUAGAGUGUGUAAGCUUGAGAAAUCCACUAUGGAUUAAAACAAGCACCUCGCAGAUGGAAUCUCCGUUUCGAUGAGAAAGUCAAAGAGUUUGGCUUUUCUAGGAGCGAAGAUGAGUCAUGUGUAUAUGUCAAGGCUAGUGGGAGUAUAGUUAGCUUGUUGGUAUUGUAUGUGUAUGACAUACUACUCAUAGGAAAUGACAUCCCAACUCUGCAGGAAGUGAAGUCCUAGCUUGGGAAGUGUUUAUCUAUAAAGGACCUUGGAGAAGCUACCUAUAUUGUAGGGAUAAGGAUUCUAAGAGACCGGAGUAAAAGACUAAUUGGACUUAGUCAGAGUACCUACUUGUAUAAGGUGUUAAAUAGGUUCAGCAUGCAGAAUUCCAAGAAAGGAGAGUUACUGAUCCAGAGUAACGCCGGAUUGAGUAAGACUCAGAGCCCGAGUACAGAGGCUUAGAUAGUAGAAAUGAGUCGAGUACCUUAUGCUUCUGCUGUAGGCUCGAUCAUGUAUGCUAUGACUUGUACUCGUCCUGAUGUGGCCUUUGCCUUGAGCAUGGUUACUGGACUGCGGUAAAGAAUAUUCUCAAGUACCUGCGGAGGACUAAGGACUGGGUCCUUACCCUCGGUGGGAGUGAUGACUUGAGAGUAGUAGGGUUGUAACACCGUGAAAUUUCAAAUAAUUUUUCAUUUAAUAUAAUAAAAACAUUUCAUUUUCAAUUAUCCAAAAAUCAUGUUCCUAAUAUUUUCACAAAAUACAAAUCAUAAAUCCACAUCCCAAGAUCUCAAAACAUAUCAACUGCAAGUGUGUACUGAUCAUGCCGACGCCUUCCUGUGAUCAUCACUGGUACCUAAAACACAUAUCAUACAAAUGGUAAGCAUAAANUCCGAUCCAUGUGUCUCAGGGGAUUUCCAUCCCAUAACUCUGUUGACCUUCCGGCCCAUACUCCGUUGACCUUCCGGUCCAUAUCAUUUUGACCUUCCGGUCCAUAUCAUACUCAUAUCAUGACAUAUCACAUAUAUAACAUGCAUCACAUAAUCAUCAUACACAUAAGACCUUCUGGUCAAACAUAAUUACCCCAUCGGGUAAGGUAUAGUGAGAAGACUCACCUCGCUAAUGUCGGAUAAUCACUCGUGCUCGAUCCCCUAUCCUAUCGUCCUCUUAUAUCAUAAACACAUCUCUAAUUAACACCUUCCUGACUUGGUAUGACUAAUACUCUUAAGUCAACACAAGUCAACCCUGGUCAAUGCUAGUCAACGGUCAACCCUUGACCCGACUCGUCGAGUCUUGCAUCGACUCGGCGAGUCCAUACGUGAACUCAAGUCCUCCAAAUCCCUUCUAACUUACCGAGUCACUCCCCCAACUCGGCGGGUCAUCAACUUACAUUCUCUUACAUUGUGUUUAUUUGGUUUAGUGUUUUUAGAUUUUGGUUUGAUAUUCCCUUCAAAACGUGUACAACUUUUUUAAUCUAACAGUUGAUUACUUUUGGUUGUUAUUGAGUAUCAAAAAAUGAAGUUUUCGGUAUAUGAACAAUAGAUGUGGAUUGAAGUCUCAUUUUCCUUCUACUUGUUGUUCCAAAUAUUAUUCUUUGUAGUCUUUUGAAUUAUGUUUUGAGUACUUUUAGUUACACAAGGCAUUUGUGUUUAUACGGGUCUUUUGUAGUUAGAUUUUUCAAAAUAAUCUUUCAUUCUGUACACUUUGAUUAAUGCUUUUGACUUAUAUACACUUUGAUUAAUGCUUUUGAAUUUUAUCAACAACAGUCCAACUUGGCAGUCCCUGAUCAUAUAAGAUUAAGAGAAAACUUGGAAAGGGAGGAUUUGGACAUAUGAAUGCAUCAGUCCCUAAUGAAAGAACGGGUCCUGGAGCAAUACAGGUAUCACAUUAUUUUUCUAAUUUAAUUGCUUUUUAACAAAAGAAUUGAUAUGAUUCAUGGUGUUAUUCAAGAUGUGGUUGUGAAUGGCGCAACUAUAAUUUCGGCUCUAGUUUUGAGUAUAAUAAACAGGAAACAUCAACAUGUAGACAAAGGAGGAGUCACAAAUGAGAUUAGAUGGCGGAUGUUAAGUGGGAAAAGUCGUUAUCCUGAACAUUUGCCCCUCCUCUCAAGGGCUGCUGCCAUUUUCUGGGUGGGUUAUUUGUCCUUUUACCAUUUCAAUAAUAUUGUUUAUUGCAUUUUUUAAAUUUNCCCCGUCAGUCCCGACGGAUCCAAUAAGUACAUCAAUUCACCUCUCCAUUUUAUGUGAAAUGAAAGAAGGGACAGAGAUCAUAAUUUAAUUCCGAAGGGGUUUCCCCUCUUUUUUUCAGGAUUCUGUCGAAGAAAGAACAAACACUAAACUAAAAUAAAAUGAAAAUAACUAAAAUAGUGAAGUUGAUAGAAUAUUCCAUCUUUUCUCCCGCGACUCCUCUUUCUCAUACUUCUUUGUCUUCCAAAUAAAAUUGGAUCAUUCAAAUUUACAACCUAAUUCCUCUCUUUUUCUACUUCGCUUGUAUUUUUUGUUGGCGUUUUGUAGUUAAUGGAAAUGGAAACGGACAAGGAUACCUCAUUUGAUGGUUCUAUAUGGAAGACAUAAGGUAGGUUAUAGAAAAGAAAGAAGAUUUCUUAAUAAAAAAUAUUUAUUAUCUAUGUAGCUAGAAAAAAAAUAUAAAUGACUAUGUCUCUGUACCGACUGAACCAAUGACUAUUUAUGAUUCCAUAAUUGAAUCAAUUCCAUACUGGUUCCAAAUUAGAGGAAUGUUAUGGUAAAACUUCGUUUAAAACGAUGUGGUAGAAAGCAACUUCUGUCUAUGAAAAAAAAGUCUGAACCUCCCUUGCUUUGUGGGCGCACUGACCAAAGUUAGAUUAUAUUUUCAAUUAUAUUUAAUUCAAUAAUAUAUAUAUAUAUAUAUAUAUAUAAUCAAUUUUAGUUUUUUAUAAAAUUUCAGCAUUUAAUAUAUUGUUAUUUAAUUUUACUAGCUUGAAUACUUUAUGCGUAAAAUGAUGUCUGACAAAGGGUAAUUAUUUGUUGUUGUAGGUUAGAAGACUAUCUGCUUGUGAGACAAUGGGAUCUGCUAUUAUUUUGCAAUGAUAAAACUGGAACAUUGACAUUAAAUUUGGUAUGUCUAUGUCUGUUUACUUAUUUUUUUGGAUUAUUUUUAUGUUUCUUCAAAUUUGUAAAAUCUUUAUUAUUUUGUUGUGUUCAGAUGAUAGUGAUUGAGGUUUAUAUAUGUGGUAAGAAAAUUGAUCCACCAAAUAAAACGUCUGAGUUGCCAUCUAGACUUGUAUCUCUUCUCAUUGAACUGGCAGUGUAUUUUUACCUAAGGUAAAUUCGUUAAGAAUUUAUUUAUCUUAAAAAUAAUUUUUUGUAAUCGUUUGAAACUUUUGAUAUAGGUUGGUGGAAAUGUGGAGGUACCAUUUACUCAUAUAUUAUUUUCUUUUAUAAAUUUUGAUUUUCUUUUAUCAUCUUUAGUAGUUCAUGCAUUCUCCUUCAACUCAGAGAAAAAAUGAGGCGAGGUUACAAUCAAACUGGUAAAAUCAUAUUUUUAUUUGUAUUUUAUUAUAAUUAUUUUUAUUUAAUUGUUUUUAAUAUUUGGUAUUAUACUUGUUCUAACAUUUUAUUUAUUAAAGAAACUUUAUAUUUGAAAGUACAGAUGUCUAAUGUAAGUGCCAUUCCAUAUAUCUUUUCUUUUGUUAUCUAUUUUUGUAUAAAAAGUACUAUGUUGGCUGUUAUAACAUCCUAUUUUUGUGUUUCUUAAUCUAUUUAUGUUGGCUGUUAUAAGUUAUUUCAUGUUUACUUUUACUAUAAUAGGAGGCUUAUGGAAGAAUAUUUGGAUUCGCAUCUAGUACAAUAAUGUCCCAAAAGGUUCGUUUAAUUUUGUCUAUUAUAAUAUCCUACUUCUAUAACAUUUUACUUUAUAGUUUUUCCUAUCAUGAGAUACUAAUAACAAAAUCUAACAUAUUAUUUUCAUGUUUUAACUGUAGGUUGUGGAUGAACACUGGAAAUGUAUGGAGAGAUGGAUAUUAAAGAUAUUAAAGAUGUGAAAGUUGUGAAAGAUUAAGAAUUAUGAAAUAUGGUACUUUGAAAUCAAAUCUCAGUUAAUGUUAAACUUUGAUAUAUAUGAUAUUUUAGGAUUUUUUGGUAAACUUUGAUGGUUGAUGCUUUUUGUUAUUUAAAUAUUAAUGUUUGUUUUGGGAUUGUUUAAUUUAUUUUUUAUUUUUGUUUUAGAUUGGUAAUAAAAAAAUCAAAAAAUAUGUUAUUAUGUUAUUAAUUUGCGAGGGUUCAGCAAUGGACUAAAAAAAAUCUUUUAUCAAACAUUUGCGAGGGAUUAACGAUUACAAGAAUCUGGUAUCAUACAUUUGCGAUGGAUCAACAACGGACUGCAAAAAUAAAUAUGGAGAUUUGAGACGGAUCAGCGACGGAAUAAUGUUACUACGUUUUGUCGCUGAAUGUCCUAAAUAAGUGUAGUAAGUAACCAUUGGUGAUGGAUAAUCUAUCACUAAAUCGUCGCAAGUAAAAAACCAAUAUGUCGCAAAAACUCUCGCUGGCACGUUAGCCAUGCUUAAAUUGGCUAUGGAGUUAUUCUGUCGCAAACAAUCAUUAGCAACAGAAUAGCGACGGAUUGAUCUCUCGCUGAAACUCUUGUGUCUAGUAGUGUAUUUUGUUUGGUUUGGAUUUAGAAUGAAUGUAAUACCUAAUUAUUUGUGCAUUUGGAUGAUUAUUGUUUUAUUUUACUAGUUAUAUACACUAGCAUAUGUAUAUGGACUUUAUAUAAAUUGAAACUCAUACAUUAGAAAAACGUAAAAAUAUUAAUUUGUUAAAUCUUGGUCUUUUAAAGUUAAAAUAGACACACGUAUAUUUAUGAUAUAUAUAUCUAAACAUAAAGAAUUAGAAAUUUAUAUAUAAUAAGUGUCCAAUUUGUCAUUAUACACUUAUAAACAUUUUUCACAAUAAUAUCUACAAUACAUUUUAUAUAUAUUUAUUUAUUACCUCAACUCUAGUUCCUUCAUAUUGAUUCAUAUAUUUUUUUUUUAAAAGUGUGUGCUUAAGGUUCAUGUCAUGUUGAUUCCAAAAACGCAUACGAAAUUGAAUUCCAUUAUGCUGGUCUCCGUGAAAUGACGCUUAACGUUUUGCGUUGAAUUAAGCUGAAAACGUUUAAUUUUUUAUUUUUAUAAAUAUUUUUAUCAAAAAUAUUUCAAAUAUAAAAUUAAAUAUUAGACCGUAGCCUGAAUCCAAAAAAUGUUUUCGUAACUUCUAUUUGAGGUGUGUAAGUCCCUCAACGGAUAGAAACGGCUUGAACGAUUUUAAGGAAAUCGGUAUUGUACUGAUUUUGGAUUCUUAAAACGGUCAUAUCUUUUGCAUAUGAACUCUGUUUUGGUCGUUGUUUAUAUUUUCGAAAUCAGGGAAACAUGUACUACGAGACUAGAAUGUUUGUAUUGCUCACGGCUGCUUAACACAAAUUUAUAGUUUUUCAGAUGCAUUCCUAUGAUUGUAGUUUGAGUUGUUUGAUUGGUUUAUUAAUUUACACAUUUGGAAGUAAAAUACCAUUUGGUAUCUUAUAAUAGUUGAAAUAACUCAUUUAUUUUAUAUUAGAUUCACUAAAAUUCAAUGAAUAAAAUUACAAAGAGAUUUACUGUGAACUUGACCGUUCACAGUUUGUGACCUAAAUUCCGGGAUGUCACAUUACCUCCCCGUUAAGGGAAUUUCGUCCCGAAAUUAUUAAGUUCUAGAUUAUUUUGUUUCACUAUCAUUUUGUUCUACUAGUAUUUCAUUCCGGUAUUGGAGGGAGCACCGUUGAAAAAUUGCGGAUACUUUUAUUUUAUUUGAUCCUUACAUUUCCAAGUAAACUCCGACUCUCUACGAGGGUUCCAUUAGGUGUUUACUAUUGUUAUUUUUCUUUGUUUGAGGCUUUUGGUUUCUCGAUUAAUGAUCUCCAUCGGUUCCUUCACGAAGUGAAGUUUAGUGUUGACCGGGAUCUCAUUAAGAGGAAAGACAAGGUUCUCAUCAUAGAAACACUUUUGAAAUCACAUACGUAGGAGGUGUCGUGAACUUUGUUGAGUUCUUGAGGUAAUUUGAGUUUGUAAGUCAUCGGACUAAUCAUUGCUAGGAUUUCACAAGGUCUGAUAUAAUAGGGAGUUUAGUUUACCUCGUUUUCGAAAUCUAAUGAUGUUUUCCAUAGUGCGACCUUUAGUAGGAAACUAUCUCUUACUCUGUUACUUUGAACUCUAAGGGUUUAUGUACGGCAUUAGCAUUUGUUUUUCUGAUGGCUACGUGCGGUCUUCUAAUCGUUCCUUUACCUGAACGAUCUUCUGUAUUGUUUCAUUAAUAAUCUCAGGGCUAGUGAGAAGAGUAUCUACAACAUGCUUAUCAACCAAUUAGGGUAUCCCCAACUUCUAUCCAACAUACCGGAGAACGAUAUUUGGUCCGUACAUGGUCUCGAAUGGAGUGAUCAUUAUGCUAGUAUGCUAACUAUUGUUAUAUGAAAACUCAGCUAGUGGUGAGUGAGUAUCCCAUUCAUUACCGAAGUGAUGAAGUCCAUCCCACAAGCGCUGAGCAUGUCCUUUUAAGCUUGUAUCGUUCUUUCACUUUGUCCAUCCGUUUAAGGAUGAUAUGCAAAAAUCACGUCGAGUUUGGCUCUUAGGAACCUCUGUAAUGAUUGCCAAAAUAUGGAAGUGAAUCUGCUCUCUCGGUCCGAGAUAAUCGUUAUUGGUACACAAUGUAGUCUGACUAUCUCCUUGAGAUAGAUCCUGGUGAGUUUCUUUACCUUGUCAAUUUUCAUGAUGGCUAGGAAAUAGGAGGACUUGGUCAAACGGUUAACCACUACUCACAUGGUGUCAUAACCGCUUGAAGUUCUUGGCAACUUCAUUAUGAAGUCUGUGGUUAUUUGUUCCAAAUUCCAUUCCAGGGUUGGCGGUUGUUGUAGUAGACCAUACGGCUCCUGGUACUCUGCUUUGACUUUGGAAUAAGUUAAGCAUUCAAUGACAUAGUUAACAAUCUCUGUCUUCAUGUUGGGUUACCAGUAAAGCUUCUUAAGAUCGAGAUACACCUUAUCUGAUCCGAGAUGUAUUGAAUACCUUGAAUUGAGAGUUUUUUCUAGAACUAGACCCCAGAAUUCACCAAACUUUAGGGUCCAAAUUCGGUUCAUGAAAUAUUGUAUUUUGCCUUCCUUGAGCUCAAACUGUUUGUCCAUGCCUCACAGGUUUCCUUCCAUGAUAUUCCCAGGUUUGAGAGCUUCUAGCUGAGCAUCUCGAAUUUGGGUGGUGAGAUUCGAGUAGGUGGUUAGGGUUAGAGCCUUUACACUAAGUGGAUUUGCUUCUCUUCCUGGUUAAAGCAUCCACUAUAACGUUUUCUUUACCAGGAUGAUAACGAAUUUCGCAUCCAUAAUCAUUUAACAAUUCGACACACUUUCGUUCCAUAGAGGUAGUGCCUCAAAAUCUUUAAGGAAAACCUUACAACUCCCAACUCUAAUUUGGAGGUAGUGUAGGUGGUCUUGUUUGAUUUAAGUUGUAUGGAUGUAUAUGCAAUGACUUUAUUCUUUUGUGUCAGCACGCAUCCUAACCCUUGGUGCGAGGCGCCGCUGAAUACUACAAAGUCUUAUGUUCCCUCUGGAAGAGACAAAAUAGGUACACUACAUAAUAACUGAUUCAAUUUCUGGAAGGAAAACUCUUGCAUGUCUCCCCAAUUGAAUUCCUUGUCUCUCUGGGUUAGAUAAAUGAGAGGCUUGGCGAUCUUGUAGAAGUUCUCUAUGAAUCUCCGUUGAUAGUCUGCAAGCCCUAGAUAUUGGCAUACUUCGGUUGGUGUCGUUGGUCAGUUCGAAUGGCAUAACCAGAAACUUGUAGUGAUUGUACCGAGUCCUAAAUGUCGUCUUUGGAAUGUCUUCUUCUUGAACUCUAGGUUGAUGAUAGCCAAAUCUUAGAUCGAUCUUUGAGCAUUAACGGGAUAAUUGUAGUUGGUCGAAAUAGGUCAUCGAUCUUCGAGAGUGGAUAUCGGUUCUUGAUGACAAGUUUGUUCGACUCUCGAUAGUCGAUGCAUAUCCUAAACGAUUCAUCCUUCUAUUCGACAACAAUACUGGAGCUCCUCAUUGAGAGCAGCUUGGUCGGACAAAGCCUUUGUCAAGAAGUUCUUGGAGUUGACUGGAUAGUUCUUGCAUUUCUGAUGGAGCCAGACGAUAAGGAGAUUGUGCCACUGGUACUGUACCCGAGAUUAGGUCAAUUUGGAAUUUGACCUGUCUGAAUGGAGGUACUCCAGGUAGAUCCUAUGGAAAUACGCCCGGAUAAUCACACACUAGCGGUAUGUCUACGAUUUCCUUACCCUUGUCUUGCAUAUCCACCACGUGGGCCAAGAAAGUGAAGCAUCUCUUCUACAAAUACCUUCUUUCCUUCAUGCAAGAGAUGGUUCUUAGAUUCUUUCCUGAUUUGUCUAUGUAAAUCACAAGAGCUUCGUUGUUAGGUAUAGGUAUUCAGAUGACUUUUUCGUGACAUAAAAUAUCUGUUUGAUGAAGUGAUAACCAAUCCAUCCGGAUGAUCACAUUGAAACUUCCAAUGGUUGUAGGUAUUAGGUUGACGUGAAAGACAUGGUCAUUCAGGGUCUUUUUGCAAAAUUUAGAGGCGUGACCUCUUAAGUUACAGAUUUCGCAGGCCAUGCAAUUUCUGACAUGGUGAAAGUUGCACUUUAUAUGGUGGGAUAAAGUCCUAGAGUAGGAAUUUGAUUGAGUAGGUGUGUUUGUGAUUGAGAUGUACACAACUACAGGUUAUGGACUAGGAUUGCGGUGCUUGAAGUUCCCAUUUGACUUGCCAUGGAACUUCCUUUUUGUACUCCCAGUAUGUUUUUUUUGGGUUAUGGAACGCUGACAGAUACACUACUAAGUCAAUUGGUAGGUUAAUUGCUUUGUACUGUCAAAGGUAGUGGUUCUGGGCGUAGUAAGUAGACCGUGAACUAGUGAAGCAAAUCCCCAGAUGUACCUUUAGGUAUUUUUGUAUUCUUAGUUCACCAUUCUUGGGUAAAGGUUUGCGAGGUCGUUAAAUCAGAAAGUAUAGGCAGUCACAUUCAAUCUUUUUAUGGUCAGGUUCCAAAUUGUAGAGAGACAAUUGAAAUCCUACUGAUUUCAAAUGAUAGAGAGAGAAGUUUAGAGACUAUUGAAUGAUCAAUUGGGAACUAUGGGUUUCUCUGCUAUGACGGUAGCGGAGCCGUUGGUUCUUUGUUCUUCCUUGAGUUUAGGUAGAUUAGGAAAAAUCUAAACGUUAUUCCAGAUUUUUAAGUGUAUUUUAAAAUGGAUACGUAGCAUUAGGGUUGAUAUAUGGUUUCUAAGACACUAGGUUUCUGCAGCGAAUCUUAAGAACAUCCUUCAAUCUCUAAAACUUUCAACCAUUGUAGUCUGUCAAACUCCUUGCUCAAGGUUUGUUGUUCACCAUCCUGACCAUAAAUAUCAUUGGCGUAUGUUCCAAGUUUAUUUAUGGUAUGGCCUAUGUAUGGUACUAACCUUAAUUGAGGCGUUUGACCUAAAGGGUUGAGUUGGUAGUUUUAGUUGGAGGCAUGUUAGAAUUUUAUUAAAUGUUCUCAUCGUGGGUCAGAGUAUAUAUAACUCUUAUAUGUUAUUGUUGGUGGGGUUUGCAAUAUUAUUAAGUUUAGUUUUGUAAAGUAUAAGGGUUGAAUUUUAACUUUUUAAAAUUCUAGGGGUUGGAACUAAAGUUUACUAAAGUGACUUUACAUGUUUCAAAACUUGAGGGCAAGUUUUGUAACUUUAGAAAACUUUUCAUUCCAUAACUUAUGAGUUAAUGGUUUAUUAAAAUGAGAGACUUUUCAUUUUAUAUAACCUAUUUGUUUAUUAAUGGACUUUAAAAGAAUGACUUUUGGUAAUCCAUCACUUGAGGGCAAAUUAUGGAUUCCGUUAAAACACAUAAUUGAUCAAGAAUUAAUCAUUAAACAAUUUUGCAAGUAAUUCCUAUGAUCUAACAAUAACUCGUAAGAACAUGAAUCUUCAUAUCAAAAUUUCAAGAAUCAUAUGAACACAUAUAAGCAUGGAAUUUUGAUAUUAGCCAUUGUAAAUUGAUUAACAUAACCAUUACACCAUCUAAACCAAGUUUUAAAACAUCAAACCAGUUUAGGAUAAAGUUUCUAGUCCAUUUCCAGCAGCAAAAGUAGAAAAACUGCAGUCAGAGCCUCUUACUCGUCGAGUGCAAGAACCUACUCGACGAGUAGGAUGAAUUUGUACUUGGACUCGUCGAUUCCCCCCAUGGACUCGGCGAGUCCACUAUCCAGACAACAACUUUUUCGAUUUUUCAGCAAGUUUGCAUCAAAUAUCAAAAAAACAAGCAUAGGCUCUGAUACCAAUGAUGGGUUUUGAGCAUUCUAAUACUCCUAAGGUGUAUGUGCAACCCUAGAAACCUUGGAUCUAUGUUUUACUAAGAUACAUGCAAAUUUGAUUUUCCAAGGUUCUUGACUUAACUAGCAUGCAUGGGAAACAUUGAAACAUAAUUGCUAGUAGAAGAACAUACCUUUUGAGUUGAUUGAAGUCCUUGAAAACCUUGUGAGCCUAGCACCUCAAGUGUGAUGCCUCAAAUGUCUCACACAACACCAAAACACUUGGAAUAACCUUGAGAGAAGUACAAACACUCUUGAAAUUCGGCUAGCCCUCUAGUUCUUUUUUAGUGUCCAGUUUUGCUAGUUAUGGGGUUUCUUUUAUAGUGUGUCAGAAGUAGGGUUACACCAUGUAAACCCUAAUUUGACAUGGCUCUUCAUUUCCAUGAUCCAUGGGUUUAUAACCUCCAUGGAGCAUCCAUGAAGCACCCUAUGGGUUUUAGUCUAAUUAAUAUAAACCAUGGAUCAUUAGCCCGCUAUACAAGAAUAGAUGAUUUACACAAUCAACCCCAUAUAUUUAAUUAGUCUCCUUUUGAUCACUUAAUUAAUUCCAAAUUAAUUCUUGAUCAAUACUAAUUAAAUAAUAUUAU
RNAcentral lists this long non-coding RNA (16565 nucleotides) under Lactuca sativa (garden lettuce). Its description in RNAcentral is "long non-coding RNA (LSAT_LNC010233)". The record is from RNAcentral. Lineage: Eukaryota; Viridiplantae; Streptophyta; Magnoliopsida; Asterales; Asteraceae.